This is a non-coding RNA of Schizosaccharomyces pombe (fission yeast), 843 nucleotides long. The record is from the annotation of a GenBank genome assembly. Lineage: Eukaryota; Fungi; Ascomycota; Schizosaccharomycetes; Schizosaccharomycetales; Schizosaccharomycetaceae.
UAUCAAUUUUUUGGAACAAAAACCCCUUUGAUCGUAUUUUUAAAAGCUUUUUACUAAACUUCAUUUGUAUUUCUGAUAUAAGUCAUUUGUUUAACUGUUUUUUUUAGACACCAAUGUAGCAACAGAAACAUCUUCAGCCUUGCGACCCAUUACUUCCGAUGAAAACAAAUAUAGCUGCUUUACCUUACCCUGCUAUGAACAACGAUACAUUUCAAGUCAAAAUCUAAAAGUCAUUACAAUACAAUAGUUACUAACAUCAACUUGGACGGAAAAAAAGUACAUUGAAAAUACUAUACAUAGAAACCUAUAUAACAUAUAUACAGGUAUAUAUUUUAAAGAAGGCCUGGAUUAUGUAUAAAUAUUGAUAACAUCAAAACGAAAAUGAAACAUUAUUUUCUUUUUUAUUGUCAUGAAAACGGAACCACAAAGUAAUUGUGAUUACUUCUUUUUAGGACCGCCCAAAGGAGCACCAAUGUUUUGGCCACGUAAUUUGAUACCUAGAGCACGUUCCAUUUUAGAAAGAACUUGCUGAUUGGGAAUAGCACGACCACUUUCAUAGUCAUUUACAACUUGUGGCUUUUCGUUUAUCCGUUGAGAUAAAUCCUUUUGAGCCCAACCCUUUGCUUGACGUCCUUUUUGGAUAGCUUGUGCAACUGAACGGCCAGUAGUGGAAGGUGGUUUAACCUCAUUUUCACGAUCAAUCUUAGUUAAGUGUUGACCAGCAGGAUCUUGACUUUUGUUUCCUGUGGCAUAUUUUUUCUCCGUACCGACGAUGGCGCCAGCACGUCUAGCAGAAUUUAUUUGAGACUGUGUCUUAGCAACAUGAGUUCUAGCUCCUGGUCC